This 465-nucleotide ribosomal RNA is filed under the name uncultured bacterium. RNAcentral describes it as "partial 16S ribosomal RNA". It matches the Rfam family "Bacterial small subunit ribosomal RNA", at positions 28 to 507 of the family's 1533-position model. The record is from RNAcentral.
GACGAACGCUGGCGGCGUGCUUAACACAUGCAAGUCGAACGGAAAGGCCCUGCUUGCCGGGUACUCGCGUGGCGAACGGGUGAGUAACAAGUGGGUGAUCUGCCCUGCACUUCGGGAUAAGCCUGGGAAACUGGGUCUAAUACAGGAUAGGAGCCAUUUUUAGUGUGAUGGUUGGAAAGUUUUUUCGGUGUAGGAUGUGCUUGCGACCUAUCAGCUUGUUGGUGGGGUAAUGGCCUACCAAGGCGGCGACGGGUAGCCGGCCUGUGAGGGUGGACGGCCACAUAGGGACUGAGAGACGGCCCAGACACCGACGGGAGGGAGCUGGGGGGAAUAUUGCACAAGGGGCGCAAGCCGGAUGCAGCGAGGCCGCGGGUGGUAUGACGGCCUUCGGGUUGUAAACUACUUUCGCUAGUGACGAAGCAUUUUGUGACGGUACCUAGAUAAGAAGCACCGGCUAACUACGUG